GCUUUCGUGGUGUAGUGGUCAGUACGCUCGACGCGUAUUCGAGAGGUCCGUGGUUCGAGUCCCGGUGAGGGCA
This 73-nucleotide transfer RNA is filed under the name Stegodyphus mimosarum. It matches the Rfam family "tRNA". Rfam says of the family: Transfer RNA (tRNA) molecules are approximately 80 nucleotides in length. Lineage: Eukaryota; Metazoa; Arthropoda; Arachnida; Araneae; Eresidae. The record is from Rfam by way of RNAcentral.